This 355-nucleotide ribosomal RNA is filed under the name uncultured Syntrophaceae bacterium. Its description in RNAcentral is "bacterial SSU rRNA". It matches the Rfam family "Bacterial small subunit ribosomal RNA", at positions 1025 to 1382 of the family's 1533-position model. The record is from RNAcentral. Lineage: Bacteria; Pseudomonadati; Thermodesulfobacteriota; Syntrophia; Syntrophales; Syntrophaceae.
AACCCGGUGACAGGUGCUGCAUGGCUGUCGUCAGCUCGUGUCGUGAGAUGUUGGGUUAAGUCCCGCAACGAGCGCAACCCUUGUCUUUAAUUGCCAUCAUUUAGUUUGGGCACUUUAAAGAGACUGCCGGUGUUAAGCCGGAGAAGUGGGGAUGACGUCAAGUCCUCAUGGCCUUUAUGCCCAGGGCUACACACGUGCUACAAUGGGCGGUACAAAGAGAAGCAACCUCGCGAGGGUGAGCAAAUCUCAAAAAGCCGUUCUCAGUUCGGAUUGAAGUCUGCAACUCGACUCCAUGAAGUUGGAAUCGCUAGUAAUCGUGGAUCAGCAUGCCACGGUGAAUACGUUCCCGGGCCUU